AAGAGGAAGAAAUUAUCGUCUAUUACAGCUUUAUGUAAUUGUGUAAAUAGUUUUGAGCUUAUGAUUGCUAACUAUUUAUUGACAAUGAAAUAUGACAAAUUUGAUCGUUGUGGUUCUUUUUUUUUUUGUUUCUUUAUACUUUACACGUUUUCACAGUUUAAGUGGAAGUGAAUUGAAUUUUGCAUGAUUCCAUCUGUGGCAGCAGGUUAUGAGAAUCCCAUCAUAUGACAA
RNAcentral lists this unclassified non-coding RNA (231 nucleotides) under Hevea brasiliensis (rubber tree). The record is from RNAcentral. Lineage: Eukaryota; Viridiplantae; Streptophyta; Magnoliopsida; Malpighiales; Euphorbiaceae.